This 436-nucleotide ribosomal RNA is filed under the name Capnocytophaga granulosa. RNAcentral's name for it is "bacterial SSU rRNA". It matches the Rfam family "Bacterial small subunit ribosomal RNA", at positions 28 to 465 of the family's 1533-position model. The record is from RNAcentral. Lineage: Bacteria; Pseudomonadati; Bacteroidota; Flavobacteriia; Flavobacteriales; Flavobacteriaceae.
GAUGAACGCUAGCGGCAGGCCUAACACAUGCAAGUCGAGGGAGAAGCCCUUCGGGGCAGAAACCGGCGCACGGGUGCGUAACGCGUACGCAACCUACCUUUCACAGGGGGAUAGCCCGAAGAAAUUUGGAUUAAUACCCCAUAAUAUUAUUGGAUGGCAUCAUUUGAUAAUUAAAAUUACGAUGGUGAAAGAUGGGCAUGCGUCCUAUUAGCUAGUUGGAGUGGUAACGGCACCCCAAGGCUACGAUAGGUAGGGGUCCUGAGAGGGAGAUCCCCCACACUGGUACUGAGACAGGGACCAGACUCCUACGGGAGGCAGCAGUGAGGAAUAUUGGUCAAUGGUCGGAAGACUGAACCAGCCAUGUCGCGUGCAGGAAGAAUGCCUUAUGGGUUGUAAACUGCUUUUAUAUGGGAAGAAUAAGGCGUAACGUGUAACG